This 404-nucleotide ribosomal RNA is filed under the name uncultured bacterium. Its description in RNAcentral is "bacterial SSU rRNA". It matches the Rfam family "Bacterial small subunit ribosomal RNA", at positions 29 to 410 of the family's 1533-position model. The record is from RNAcentral.
AACGAACGCUGGCGGCGUGGAUUAGGCAUGCAAGUCGAACGCGAAAUGCGGAGGGGUAACUCUCUGCAAAGUAGAGUGGCGAACGGGUGAGUAACGCGUGAGAAACCUGCCUUCAUCAGGGGGAUAACACUCCUAACGGAGUGCUAAUACCGCAUGAGACCACGGGAUCGCAUGGUCCUGAGGUCAAAGGUGGCCUCUAUUUAUAAGCUACCGGAUGAAGAUGGUCCGCGUCCCAUUAGCUAGUUGGCGGGGUAAUGGCCCACCAAGGCGACGAUGGGUAGCUGGUCUGAGAGGGAUGGUCAGCCACACUGGGACUGAGAUACGGCCCAGACUCCUACGGGAGGCAGCAGUCGAGAGGCUUCGGCAAUGGGGAAACCCUGACCGAGCGACGCCGCGUGGGGAUG